ACUGGAAGGCCAAUAAGGCUGGGUCGGAUGAAGAAAGACUUUGCUGAUACACUCCUCCUCGUCAGAGGGGUUGAGAGAGCAUUCCCUUAAUGGAAAAAAAACCACAGGACUGACUGUACUACCCAACAUUU
Molecule: non-coding RNA, 131 nt
Organism: Acomys russatus (golden spiny mouse)
Lineage: Eukaryota; Metazoa; Chordata; Mammalia; Rodentia; Muridae
Product: small Cajal body-specific RNA 4
Exons: 1
Source: RefSeq, a predicted model, not a curated record